This 311-nucleotide ribosomal RNA is filed under the name uncultured bacterium. RNAcentral's name for it is "bacterial SSU rRNA". It matches the Rfam family "Bacterial small subunit ribosomal RNA", at positions 30 to 342 of the family's 1533-position model. The record is from RNAcentral.
AUUGAACGCUGGCGGCAUGCCUUACACAUGCAAGUCGAACGGCAGCGCGGGGGCAACCUGGCGGCGAGUGGCGAACGGGUGAGUAAUAUAUCGGAACAUACCCUAGAGUGGGGGAUAACGUAGCGAAGUUACGCUAAUACCGCAUACGCACUAAGGUGGAAAGUGGGGGAUCUUCGGACCUCAUGCUCAUGGAGUGGCCGAUAUCUGAUUAGCUAGUUGGUGAGGUAAAGGCUCGACCAAGGCGAAGACGGGUAGCUGGUCUGAGAGGAUGAUCAGCCACACUGGAACUGAGACACGGUCCAGACUCCUAC